CCUCCAGGCUGAGUGUGACGCCUUUGAAGAGAAGAUUAGGGCUGCAGGUGGGAUCGAGCUCUUUGUUGGAAGCAUCGGCCCCCAUGGACACAUUGUCUUCAAUGAGCCAGUCUCCAGUCUGGUGUCCAGGACCUGUGUCAAGAUGCUGGCCAUGGACACCAUCCUGGCCAAUGCAAGGUUCUUCGAUGGAGAGCUGGCCAAGGUGCCCACCAUGGCCCUGACAGUGGGCAUGGGCACUGUCAUGGACGCUAGAGAGGUGAUGAUCCUCAUCACAGGGGCCCACAAGGCAUUUGCUCUGUACAAGGCCAUCGAGGAGGGCGUGAACCAUAUGUCAACCGUGUCUGCCUUCCAGCAGCAUCCACGCACCGUGUUUGUGUGUGACGAAGAUGCCACCUUGGAGCUGAAGUUGAAGACUGUCAAAUACUUCAAAGGUUUAAUGCUUGUUCACAACAAGCUGGUGGACCCCUUGUACAGUAUCAAAGAGAAAGAAACUGAAAAAAGCCAGUCUUCUAAGAAACCAUACAGCGAUUAGCCUGUGCUGGGCCCUGGCAUCAAAUACCUCAUAGAGGCAGGCGGGUCUUUCUGGAAAUUGUCUUUAUAGCAGAACUGUAUUUCUUUAACUCAGUGUGGUUACUCCAGAUAAGUGGGUGAACUUACUGUUCUUGGCUAUGAGGCUAGGCGCUGAGUCAUGGACUUUAGCUACAGAGAGAAUUAUUUGCUGUAAUUUAAUCAGAAAAGUCUCUGAAAAAUGUCCUCCACCAUUUUGACAUCUGCCAAGCCCAGG
Carlito syrichta (Philippine tarsier) is the source of this 784-nucleotide RNA transcript. It is a transcript of the gene named glucosamine-6-phosphate isomerase 1 pseudogene, with no coding region annotated. The transcript has a single exon. Lineage: Eukaryota; Metazoa; Chordata; Mammalia; Primates; Tarsiidae. The record is from RefSeq and is a predicted model, not a curated record.